Molecule: long non-coding RNA, 867 nt
Organism: Drosophila simulans
Lineage: Eukaryota; Metazoa; Arthropoda; Insecta; Diptera; Drosophilidae
Exons: 3
Source: RefSeq, a predicted model, not a curated record
CAUUUCGCUUCUCCGAGGGCCGCAUGCGUUCAAGGACCCCAGAUAAUUAUGUUACGAGGACACAUGGCCCCAGCUUGAGGCAGACAGAUAACCGAAAAGGCAGGAGGGCAAAAGCAAUGCUUAAUGUGGCUUUAAUUAGUGGAAUCACAAAAAUGAAUGUGGAGGGGAAAAUAAUAAGAACGUAGUGAAGAAGUAGAGCAACCCCAAGCCAUAAUAUCAAACCGAGCAGACCUGCCUGCUGUUUGUGCCACCAAAGCGAAAAAUAUCUGAGGCCGAAAUGACCUUGCAUAAAUUAGAUAUUAGCCGUCCCGAUGCUGAGGCUGCCAUCCUGCGAAGGACACUCUGGCAUUUAUUAAGUGAACCAUUUCAAUUUUCACUGAUAGUUUGACAUUUCCCAGCUUAAUCAGCCGUGCUUUCGCAAGCCAAAAAAAAAACGUGAAAAACCCAAACGAAUCGCAGGAAUUAUGCAAAUGAUCAGGGGGCGAAAGUGGCAAGGAUUUUCGCAGUAGGCUUUCGGCUAAGUCUGCUUCCACAUGUUGCUUUAUCUCCAUCUCUGUGCCAAAUAACUCAGGUCAGGCAAAGUAGCGCAGCGUUGACUUUGUGUACUCCGAACAAUGUGGUUUGCCUGUUUUUUUUUUGUUUGUUUUUAUGUUCUGGAAAACUGGUAACCAAGGCUUAGACAAGACUCUGGCAACUUGAUGAUGGGAUAAACGGCAUUGAAAGCAUACUCAGUGGGACUGUAGCUGCCGCAAUUAUUAAUGUUGUUUCCCACAUAUCCGAGCUUAAAUCAGGCAAUGCACAGUGGUUCACAUUGUGUGGGGAAAGUGGCCAAAAAUAAUUCCAGUUGAGGUAGACACUUAUAUACAU